RNAcentral lists this long non-coding RNA (654 nucleotides) under Homo sapiens (human). Its description in RNAcentral is "HSALNT0374698". Lineage: Eukaryota; Metazoa; Chordata; Mammalia; Primates; Hominidae. The record is from RNAcentral.
CUGUUCCCUAAAAGCGAUGAGAACACAGGUCAAAAAUGUCAAAAUUAACUUUCUCAGAACUCUGGAAAUUAAUCAAAGGCUUGUGAUGAUCCAAGGAGUGUUUAUUCAAGAAAACCAGUUGAAUGUUGGUAAGAACUAUGAUCUUUGUGACAGUUUAAUUUGCCCUAUUCCCACCCCUUCUCUGUAACUGUAGUAGUCUUGAAAACCAAGUCUGGGGCUCCCAGUAGCUAUGAAAGCUAGCAGCCUAUCAGCUUCUGGCGGGAGAAGAUGGCCUUGGGGUUCUUCAAAAGUCACACUUCCAGAGAAUUGUCAUGAUUUGAUCUGUUUGGCAGCUCCCCUGUCCCCACACAAGAUGGACAUGGACACAGAAGAACUAGACUUGGCCAGGAAGUAUAAUCAGCACCCAAGAUCCAAAGAGCUUAAGUGUUACAAAAUGAUACUCACCAGAGGGACCCAGACAAGAGUUCCUGUUUUAGUUGGCUUCUCUUCAUUGGAAGAAACAGAUUCACUCAAGUGACUUCAAGAAGAAUAGAGUUUAUUAUGAGGAUGCAGGUAAAAGAGCAUUUGUGGGGCCGGGCUCGGUGUCUCACACCUGUAAUCCCAGCACUUUGGGAGGCCAAGGCAGGUGGAUCACAAGGUCAGGAGUUCAAGACC